GAUGAACGCUGGCGGCGUGCCUAAUACAUGCAAGUCGAGCGAACAGACGAGGAGCUUGCUCCUCUGACGUUAGCGGCGGACGGGUGAGUAACACGUGGAUAACCUACCUAUAAGACUGGGAUAACUUCGGGAAACCGGAGCUAAUACCGGAUAAUAUAUUGAACCGCAUGGUUCAAUAGUGAAAGACGGUUUUGCUGUCACUUAUAGAUGGAUCCGCGCCACAUUAGCUAGUUGGUAAGGUAACGGCUUACCAAGGCGACGAUGCGUAGCCGACCUGAGAGGGUGAUCGGCCACACUGGAGCUGAGACACGGUCCAGACGCCUACGGGAGGCAGCAGUAGGGAAUCUGCCGCAAUGGGCGAAAGCCUGACGGAGCAACGCCGCGUGAGUGAUGAAGGUCUUCGGAUCGUAAAACGCUGUUAUUAGGGAAGAACAAAUGUGUAAGUAACGAUGCACGUCUUGACGGUACCUAAUCAGAAAGCCACGGCUAACUACGU
This 496-nucleotide ribosomal RNA is filed under the name uncultured bacterium. Its description in RNAcentral is "partial 16S ribosomal RNA". It matches the Rfam family "Bacterial small subunit ribosomal RNA", at positions 28 to 506 of the family's 1533-position model. The record is from RNAcentral.